Molecule: ribosomal RNA, 260 nt
Filed under: uncultured bacterium
Lineage: Bacteria
Description: partial 16S ribosomal RNA
Rfam family: Bacterial small subunit ribosomal RNA
Source: RNAcentral
CCGGCGCACGGGUGAGUAACACGUAUCCAACCUGCCGUCUACUCUUGGACAGCCUUCUGAAAGGAAGAUUAAUACAAGAUGGCAUCAUGAGUCCGCAUGUUCACAUGAUUAAAGGUAUUCCGGUAGACGAUGGGGAUGCGUUCCAUUAGGUUGUUGGCGGGGUAACGGCCCACCAAGCCUUCGAUGGAUAGGGGUUCUGAGAGGAAGGUCCCCCACAUUGGAACUGAGACACGGUCCAAACUCCUACGGGAGGCAGCAUG